This 359-nucleotide unclassified non-coding RNA is filed under the name Hevea brasiliensis (rubber tree). Lineage: Eukaryota; Viridiplantae; Streptophyta; Magnoliopsida; Malpighiales; Euphorbiaceae. The record is from RNAcentral.
GAGAAAUACACUGGGUUAGGAUUUGAAAGUUAUAAGUGAUUGUAUCUUGCAUUUUUUCUCUUGUUUUGCCUAUAGGCAUUCUUAUUCUCUUUUCUUAUACUGUAUGAUUAUGCAAUUGUGUGUAUGCCUACUUGCUAUAACAAGUUCUUUCUUAUUGGAGGAUAAUUUAGACUUCUUUUGUAAGCAUUCUGUCGAAUUCAACUAAUCUUUCAUAUAGGAAACUUAGGUUUUAAGAUGCCUUUGAAUGCCGCCAGUGCCUUCUCAUGCCUCUAUGCUAUUUUAGUCUUCUAUUGACAAACAUUCAUCCUAUACUUUCUCUUUGUUCAUUUUGUGAUAUGUGCACCUUUAUAGCCUUUUUU